Molecule: non-coding RNA, 67 nt
Organism: Serratia proteamaculans 568
Lineage: Bacteria; Pseudomonadati; Pseudomonadota; Gammaproteobacteria; Enterobacterales; Yersiniaceae
Source: Rfam
GAAGGCACGACAUUGCUCACAUUGCUUCCAAGUAUUACUUAGCCAGCUCGGGUGCUGGCUUUUUUUU